AUGUGGCAGAUGAGUUGGACAACC
This 24-nucleotide microRNA is filed under the name Prunus persica (peach). RNAcentral describes it as "microRNA miRNA_60". The record is from RNAcentral. Lineage: Eukaryota; Viridiplantae; Streptophyta; Magnoliopsida; Rosales; Rosaceae.